RNAcentral lists this ribosomal RNA (898 nucleotides) under uncultured archaeon. Its description in RNAcentral is "SSU rRNA". It matches the Rfam family "Archaeal small subunit ribosomal RNA", at positions 455 to 1354 of the family's 1478-position model. The record is from RNAcentral.
GUGCCAGCCGCCGCGGUAAUACCAGCCCCGCGAGUGGUUGGGACGUUUACUAGGCCUAAAGCGCCCGUAGCCGGCCCGGUAAGUCCCUCCUUAAAGCCCCGGGCUCAACCCGGGGAGCGGGGGGAUACUGCCGGGCUAGGGGGCGGGAGAGGCCGGGGGUACCCCAGGGGUAGGGGCGAAAUCCGAUAAUCCCUGGGGGACCACCAGUGGCGAAGGCGCCCCGCUAGAACGCGCCCGACGGUGAGAGGCGAAAGCCGGGGCAGCAAAAGGGAUUAGAUACCCCUGUAGUCCCGGCUGUAAACGAUGCCGGCUAGGUGUCGCGUGGGCUUAGAGCCCACGCGGUGCCGCAGGGAAGCCGUUAAGCCGGCCGCCUGGGGAGUACGGCCGCAAGGCUGAAACUUAAAGGAAUUGGCGGGGGGGCACACAAGGGGUGGAGCCUGCGGCUCAAUUGGAGUCAACGCCGGGAACCUCUACCGGGGGCGACAGCAGGAUGACGGCCAGGCUAACGACCUUGCCCGACGCGCUGAGGGGAGGUGCAUGGCCGUCGCCAGCUCGUGCUGUGAAGUGUCCUGUUAAGUCAGGCAACGAGCGAGACCCCCGCCCCUAGUUGCGACCCUGCGGGCGACCGCGGGGGCACACUAGGGGGACUGCCGCCGCUAAGGCGGAGGAAGGAGGGGGCCACGGCAGGUCAGCAUGCCCCUAAACCCCCGGGCUGCACGCGGGCUACAAUGGCGGGGACAGCGGGAUCCGACCCCGAGAAGGGGGAGGCAAUCCCUGAAACCCCGCCGUAGUUGGGAUCGGGGGCUGAAACUCGCCCCCGUGAACCUGGAAUCCCUAGUAACCGCGCGUCACCAUCGCGCGGUGAAUACGUCCCUGCCCCUUGUACACACCGCCCGUC